Molecule: ribosomal RNA, 492 nt
Filed under: uncultured bacterium
Lineage: Bacteria
Description: partial 16S ribosomal RNA
Rfam family: Bacterial small subunit ribosomal RNA
Source: RNAcentral
AGUGAACGCUGGCGGUAGGCCUAACACAUGCAAGUCGAACGGCAGCACAGUAAGAGCUUGCUCUUACGGGUGGCGAGUGGCGGACGGGUGAGGAAUACAUCGGAAUCUACUUUUUCGUGGGGGAUAACGUAGGGAAACUUACGCUAAUACCGCAUACGACCUACGGGUGAAAGCAGGGGAUCUUCGGACCUUGCGCGAUUGAAUGAGCCGAUGUCGGAUUAGCUAGUUGGCGGGGUAAAGGCCCACCAAGGCGACGAUCCGUAGCUGGUCUGAGAGGAUGAUCAGCCACACUGGAACUGAGACACGGUCCAGACUCCUACGGGAGGCAGCAGUGGGGAAUAUUGGACAAUGGGCGCAAGCCUGAUCCAGCCAUACCGCGUGGGUGAAGAAGGCCUUCGGGUUGUAAAGCCCUUUUGUUGGGAAAGAAAAGCAGCAGGUUAAUAACCCGCUGGUCUGACGGUACCCAAAGAAUAAGCACCGGCUAACUUCGUG